AUUCCUGCAUCCUUUUUUUACGAGCACCUUUCGUUCUCCUUCGGCGGGGCAACCUGCCGCUGGAACUUAACAAAACCUUUUUUGCAUCUAGCAUUACCUGUUCUGAUACAAACAAUCGUUACAACUUUCAACAAUGGAUCUCUUGGCUCUGGCAUCGAUGAAGAACGCAGCGAAAUGCGAUAAGUAGUGUGAAUUGCAGAAUUCAGUGAAUCAUCGAAUCUUUGAACGCACAUUGCGCCCCUUGGUAUUCCAUGGGGCAUGCCUGUUCGAGCGUCAUCUACACCCUCAAGCUCUGCUUGGUGUUGGGCGUCUGUCCCGCCUUCGCGCGCGGACUCGCCCCAAAUUCAUUGGCAGCGGUCCUUGCCUCCUCUCGCGCAGCACAAUUGCGUCUGCGGGGGGGCGUGGCCCGCGUCCACGAAGCAACAUUACCGUCUUUGACCUCGGAUCAGGUAGGGAUACCCGCUGAACUUAAGCAUAUC
RNAcentral lists this ribosomal RNA (479 nucleotides) under Coniothyrium sp. aurim1156. Its description in RNAcentral is "eukaryotic LSU rRNA". The stretch from base 123 to 276 matches the Rfam family "5.8S ribosomal RNA". Lineage: Eukaryota; Fungi; Ascomycota; Dothideomycetes; Pleosporales; Coniothyriaceae. The record is from RNAcentral.